UACGGAGGGGGCUAGCGUUGUUCGGAAUUACUGGGCGUAAAGCGCGCGUAGGCGGACCUGCAAGUCGGAGGUGAAAUCCCAAGGCUCAACCUUGGAACUGCCUUUGAUACUGAAGAUCUUGAGUUCGGGAGAGGUGAGUGGAACUGCGAGUGUAGAGGUGAAAUUCGUAGAUAUUCGCAAGAACACCAGUGGCGAAGGCGGCUCACUGGCCCGAUACUGACGCUGAGGCACGAAAGCGUGGGGAGCAAACAGGG
This 254-nucleotide ribosomal RNA is filed under the name uncultured bacterium. RNAcentral describes it as "partial 16S ribosomal RNA". It matches the Rfam family "Bacterial small subunit ribosomal RNA", at positions 524 to 777 of the family's 1533-position model. The record is from RNAcentral.